This 64-nucleotide transfer RNA is filed under the name Oberea yaoshana. RNAcentral's name for it is "tRNA-His". The record is from RNAcentral. Lineage: Eukaryota; Metazoa; Arthropoda; Insecta; Coleoptera; Cerambycidae.
AUUCAAAUAGUUUAAUAAAAAUAUUGAUUUGUGGAAUCAAAGUUAUAAGAUUUUAUUUUGAAUA